AAUGCAUUACCGUAUACAGGGCCG
Molecule: non-coding RNA, 24 nt
Filed under: Arabidopsis thaliana (thale cress)
Lineage: Eukaryota; Viridiplantae; Streptophyta; Magnoliopsida; Brassicales; Brassicaceae
Source: RNAcentral